UUUAUAGAACAAGGAAAUGAGUAGAUAGAGAAAGGAAAAAAGAAAGGGAAAAGGAAAAGAAAGGAUAGGAGUAUGUGAUAUGUAUGUCAUGUGUCAUGUGUUUGUCUUGUGUAUAGUUGUAUAUCAUGUGUAUGUCUUGUUGGAUUUAUUUGAAAAGAAAGGAAAAGGAAAAGUUGGAAUUAUUUGAAUUAAGUUGCAUUUAGUUGAAUUAAGUUGGAAUUAUUUGAAUUAAGUUGGAUUUAAUUGAAUUAAGUUGGAAUUAUUUGAAUUAGCUAGGUUUAUUUGAAUUAAUUUGGAAUUAUUUGAAUUAAGUUAGAUUUAUUUGAAUUAGCUAGGUUUAUUUUAAUUGAUUUGGAAUUAUUUGAAUUAGCUAUAUUCUUCUUCUUCUUCAUAAACCGAAAAAUAUGAAUAUUAUUCAUCCACUAAUUACUCCAAAUUUAGAACUGAAUAAACACUUGUCAUCUUCAGUAAACACUUGUAAAUCUAGAGUUGUUAUAAAUCCGGAUAAACACUUGUCAUGUCUGAAUCUGAGGGACUAUGUUUUUUCUUUUUCUACUUAAAUGGUGAUCUCUUGAUAAAAGCUGACUUUAAUUUCACCCCGCACGACAAUCUAGAUAAUUGUGUAAGAUCAAGAAUAGUUACUGUUCUCACUCCAACAUUUUUAGUCUCUUUUAGAGAAAACAUUUUCAGUCUAUAUGGGUAAAUGAGAGCACAUUGCUACUACAAGUGAUACAGUGUGGAAAGGAAAACAAUCAAACAUGAAACAUAAAUAACCAUGAGAGUGUGCAGUGCAGUCAACUGCCAAUUGGUUUCUAAUUACUCCAUAGUGAAUAACUUAGAAUGCAACAAGUACUAAUGUCCUUUUCGGCAACAAGUAGAACGUCUCAAAUCUUUUACCAGGCUAUCCACCAUCUACACAGCAAGAUUCACAAAGACAUGCACGCUUCAAUAGACUUGUGGAUGCUAGCAAAGUGAUAAAAACUUGGAUGUUUUCAGAAAUAUAGCACCAGAGGACAUUAAGUACUCCAUUCACGAAACCUUUAAAUAUAGCAUCACAAGCCGCAUAGGUUGAUGAACUGGCAUGUAUGCUAAAGGCAAGGAAAUGCCACCUUCUUUUCUUCUUCUAGCAGUUCAUGAACUGGCCUGUGUGCUGCAGCUAUGUAUAGGUUCUGCAGAAAAUGCACCAAACAAGUUACACACAGGUGAAGUAAGUGGACAACAACAUUUAAUCUCCAGUUCUUUUCUUUUGGUAGUGAAAUUCAAUCUCAAUUUCGUAAGCAAAGAAGCAAUGUAGUGACUGUACUCCAAGUUAAAUUCAGUCAAUGUGUACAUAAAGUAGUGAUUUUUUCACCAACUGAAAUCAAUUAUCACCAAUACUGUUCAUACUAAAUUUAUACUAUAUGUUUAUCUAGUGUACGUUCACCAAUACUGAAAGCAUACAAAGUGCAAGGCUAACUGAAUCUAUACUGUAUGUUCAUCUACUGUAUGUUCACCAAUGCUGAAAGCAUACAAAGUGCAAGGCUAACUGAAUUUAUACUGUAUCUUCAUCUCAAGUACUCCAUGGCCAACUAAAUUUUGUCAGUACUGUACUCGUACUCGUAAUACUCCAUGGCUCACCUGCACCAAUGGAAGCAGCAUCCAUUCCUCUGCAAUACUCCAUUCCUCCUCCAAUCGCUGCACAAAGUCAGCUCACCUGCUUGCUUCAACAGACAGACAUCACCUAUAAUUUCAGAAGACAGACCUGCGUUGUGGGCAAGCAGGGUAAAGAAGCAGAAGCGGCAGCAUCGGCGCCGAUGGAGCCAAGAGUGUAUGUCCUCCAUCAUAAGCCCGCCAGUUCGAGGAGAAAGACGAGCACAGGGCAGUGGCAUGUGGCUGGAGCAAGUCUUCCCCAUGCCCUAGUCGUGUUUCCCACGCCGCGGCCGCCGAAGCUCGAGGUCUGGAGGAGGUGCUCGAUGAUGAGGAGCGGGUCAUCGAGCGUUGUCAGUAGAGCCGGCAAGGCACGGGCUUUGCAGAAAAGGGGAUCCCUUCCUCCUUGAUCUCCUAGUGAGGAUGGAGAGAAGAAGUAAGAUGAGGGAGAGAAGGCGGCCAAUGUGCGGCGGGGCGACAGAGUAGGUGGCGAGGUGGUAGAGUAUGCGGCGAGGCAACGGAGCAG
RNAcentral lists this long non-coding RNA (2152 nucleotides) under Triticum aestivum (bread wheat). Its description in RNAcentral is "long non-coding RNA (TAES_LNC024091)". Lineage: Eukaryota; Viridiplantae; Streptophyta; Magnoliopsida; Poales; Poaceae. The record is from RNAcentral.